GAUGAAGAACGCAGCGAAAUGCGAUAAGUAAUGUGAAUUGCAGAAUUCAGUGAAUCAUCGAAUCUUUGAACGCACCUUGCACCCUUUGGCAUUCCGAAGGGUAUGCUCGUUUGAGUGUCAUUGUACUCUCACACUUCUGAUCCUUUGGAUUGGGAGCGGUGGACUUGGGUGUUGCUGCUUUACUGUGGCUCACCUCAAAUGCAUUCGUGCAACUCUUGGUUGGACAUAGUACGGCGUGAUAAGUAUCUUCGCCGGCACCUCGCAAGAGGGUGGCUGAUCAGGAGCUCUGUGCUUUCCAACUGUCUUCAGACAACAACUGACCACUUGACCUCAAAUCGAGUAGGACCACCCGCUGAACUUAAGCAUAUCAAUAAGCGGAGGA
Molecule: unclassified non-coding RNA, 382 nt
Filed under: soil metagenome
Description: partial contains 5.8S ribosomal RNA, internal transcribed spacer 2, and large subunit ribosomal RNA
Rfam family: 5.8S ribosomal RNA (bases 1-120)
Source: RNAcentral